GGGCUUGACAUCCCACGAACCUGAUAGAGAUAUCGGGGUGCCGCAAGGAGCGCAGAGACAGGUGCUGCAUGGCUGUCGUCAGCUCGUGUUGUGAGAUGUUGGGUUAAGUCCCGUAACGAACGCAACCCUUGCCCUUAGUUGCCAGCAUUUAGUUGGGGACUCUAAGGGGACUGCCGGUGAUGAACCGGAGGAAGGCGGGGACGACGUCAAGUCAUCAUGGCCUUUAUGUCCAGGGCUACACACGUGCUACAAUGGACGGUACAGAGAGUCGCGAGACCGCAAGGUGGAGCUAAUCUCGGAAAGCCGUUCUCAGUUCGGAUUGCAGUCUGCAACUCGACUGCAUGAAGUUGGAAUCGCUAGUAAUCGCGGAUCAGAACGCUGCGGUGAAUACGUUCCCGGGCCUUGUACACACCGCCCGUCACAUCACGAAAGCAGGCUGUACUCGAAGUCGCUGAG
RNAcentral lists this ribosomal RNA (456 nucleotides) under uncultured bacterium. Its description in RNAcentral is "bacterial SSU rRNA". It matches the Rfam family "Bacterial small subunit ribosomal RNA", at positions 977 to 1434 of the family's 1533-position model. The record is from RNAcentral.